GGGGGGGGUUCUGUGUAGCCCUGGCUGUCCUGAAACUCACUCUAUAGACCAGGCUGGUCUAGAGUACACAGAGAUCCACCUGCCUCUGCCUCCUGAGUGUGCUGGGAUUAAAGAUUUGUGGGACCAUUUCCAGCCUGUUUUCUUUAAAAAAAAAAAAAAAAAUUCUUCCACAGGUUUAAAACAGCAUGCAGCUGAGUGGCUGCGAGUUACUGCUGGAGAAAUCAUAGUAUAAUCUCUCAGGCAGGGUCUCAUUAGCAUUGGCUGGUCUUAAGACUUGCUACAGACAGACCAAGGAGGACCUUAAACAUUUCAUUCUCCUGCCUCUACUUCCCUAGGGCUAAGAUUACAGACGUGCAUGCUUGUGCCUGGUUUACAUAGUGCUGGAGACUGGACCUAAAGCUUCAGGCACGCUAGGCAAGCACUCUACUAACUAAAUUGUAUCCCUAGCUCCCAAGAUACUCUCAUGUUUUCCCCCGCCUUGGCCUUCUAAUUAAGUAAAGCUUGGAUUACAUAAUUGUACGGAGUUCCAAGGUGUUUUGAAAAAAUGAAAGGUGAAGGCAAACAAUAAAAGGCUAUUUUUAAAACAAAAGGAACUACUGUGAUAUAUGAUAGACUCUCACACAUACAUGGUACAGUAAAAGGGCACUAGAAAUUAUUUUGCUAAAACUGGAGAGAACUAGAAAAGAAGGCUCUGUGCAACGCCCAGGGAUGAUGCUCACGUUAUUAAACAUCACGAAGACUUCACUGGACACUAUUGCUGUUCCUUUUCUCUUCUACACUGCUAAGAAAAGCAUCAUCUCCCCCAAUCCUGAGGAUCUUACUCUAAAGAACUUCAGUAUAUAUAAAAAUUUUAAAUUAAAAA
RNAcentral lists this long non-coding RNA (862 nucleotides) under Rattus norvegicus (Norway rat). RNAcentral's name for it is "long non-coding RNA NONRATT004938". The record is from RNAcentral. Lineage: Eukaryota; Metazoa; Chordata; Mammalia; Rodentia; Muridae.